GUCUGUGGUUAGUACACCUAGCUAUGCUGCUUUUGCCCUGGGGUCUUCCAGCCUUGUGGCUGGUGGCUGGGUGCCUUCUACUGGUGCUGUGCAGAGGCUUUCCCUAAGGCUGCUGUGAGCCUGUAGGGUUUCCCCCUAGGCUACUAAGCUGGGUCUCUGGAACUCUCUCCAGCCCCUGUCCUCUCCGAGAUCUCUGGCAAUCCCUAGUCUCACGGGGCGGGCAACGGCAGCUGGGGGUCGCCCCGCCCUCUGGGCUUCUCUCCGGGCCUCUCUCGGGAGCCCUGAAUGCUGGGCGUGGCCCCUCUGCUAAUGGCAGACAGAGAGUUUUGUCUGCUGCCUGGCGGAACUCCGGCACUUCCCCUCCGGGUCGCAGAACCGGCCUUUGAAAGUUCCCCCCGCCCCGGUCCUCUCCGAGAUCUCUGGCAAUCCCUAGCCCCACGGGGCGGGCAACGGCAGCUGGGGGUCGCCCCGCCCUCUGGGAUUCUCUCUGGGCCUCUCCCGGAGCCAUGAAUCCUCAGCGUGGCCCCUCUGCUAACGGCAGACAGAGAGUUUUGUCUGCUGCCCGGGCGGAGCUCCGGCGCUUCCCCUCCGGGUCACCGGCAACGGCAGCUGGGAGACCUCCGUACCCUCCGUGACUCUCUCUGGGACCCAAUGGCGGGGAGAGACUCUCCCCGCGGGCUCAGGUGUGCAACUCCAAAGUUUCCCUCUGCGUUUAGGAGUAAUUGCGGGGGGUUUAGGUAGGGUUCUGGUCACCUGUUUCCACUGUCGCUCCUCUGUUGUGUUCUCGCUCCUGCCCUAGAUGUGUGUGGAUCCUCUGGGGGCGUCCGUUGGAAGAAAGCCGCUUGCGGGUACUAGGCUGCCCAUCGGGGUCAGAGAGUUUUCACCUAUUUCCACAUCCUCCCGGAGGAAAGUCCGUCCGCCUUCUGAUGUAUAGUCACGUGGGUGUCUCAGACGUCCUGAGAUGCUGUCUGGAUAUCCUUUGUCAAGCGAUAAGUGUCCAAAUAAUUGUAGACUCGAAGGGCGAGAGACAAAGAGGACUACUCACGGCGCCAUCUUGGAUCUUCUCCGGUGGGUAUGUAUUUUAAUUGCCAGACUAAUUUCCAAAGUGGUUUAUCAGUUUACACCAGCAAGAUAUCAAAACUGCCAUUGCUUCAUAUCCUUGUUAACAUUCGGUAUUGUCACUGUGUGUGAAAUAGCAGUUCAUUAUGGUUUUAAAUUGCAUUUCCCUGGCAACUAACGAUGUUAAACAUCUUUCUAUGUGCUUGUUGGCCAUUCCUGUAUCUUCUUUUGUGAACUGUCUUUCCAAAACUGCGUAUUUUUGAUGAUGUAUACAUGCACACGUGUAUAUACGUGUAUGUGUUUUAUUGUACAUGUGUAUGUAUAUACAAACAGGUACACAAACACACACUCACAAACAGAUACACAUGACGUAAACAACUGAAGUGUUGGGAGAGGGGUCUAGAUCAGGUGGGUCAGUAGGUUUGAAAAGCAACAGAAUGAAGUUCUCUGCAAGGUUGCACAGCUUGAGGAAACUACCUUAACAUCUGUCUGUAAAGCAGUGCCUUCCUUGUAGGCUUGUUAGGAGGGUUAUGUGUUCCUACGUGUUAAGCGUUUAGAAUAACACUUGGCGCCUAGUGAGCACUCAUGAGUGUUGAUUAGAAGUAAAAUGAACCAACCCAGCCUUGAUCCUCAUCAGCCAGCGAGCAGAGAGGGCACCUUCUCGUGCCCUGAACCCUCUGAUGAAAUGAUGCCUAUGGGAGGCUUUUUCACACCUUUGCCAUGAAAUUCCCAUUGUGGCAGUUGACACCCACGCAGAUGGGACAGAGUCAGUAAAUCUUUCUUGGAUGAAUAGAUAGGGGUUGGGCCAGGUCAGUGUUUCCCACGGGAGGAAUGUGAGAUGGUUUUAGGCGGUACACAGACUGGUAUUUUAAAUUUAAAUAAUUAGGUAUUUAUUACAGAAUGCGUUAGGUCUGAUAUGCUACCAGAUAUCUUCUUCUGAGUAUUAAAAAAAGGUAGUUGAUUUCAAGACAUAUUAAAUUGAACAUGUGGUAUGUGAAUGUCAUGAAAAUUUUUAGAGUAGUAGUGGAUUGAAUGAAAUUGAGAAAAUCUUUGAGGUCUGUCUAAAUCUGAGAUAUUUGAUUCUUUGCAUCUGGGUUUCAAACAUGAAAUUAGGACAUACAAGUAGAAGGGAUGUUCUCUGGGUUUUGGGAACAGAGGACUAAUGGGAAUGGACAGCAAACAAGAUGCACAGGAUCGUGGUAUGGAGAUAAGUAGUAUUAGAUUUUUGGUAUCUACUUUGGGACAGUCUUUAUGUAUAUGUAUAUGUUCAUUCUAGCAAAAUUGGGAGCAUCCUGUAUAUGUAAUUUUGUAUUCUGCUUUGUUCACCUGAUGCGAUAAUUCCAGGUUCAGUAUUCUUGUACAAAAAUCUUUGUGUCCAUUCUUGUUUCCUUAGGAUAGAUCCCAGAAGUGGGGUUGUUCUGUCAUUGGGUACACAUGCUUUUCUGGCUUUCUGUACCUGUUGCCACGGUGCCUUGGACGUGCCUGUGCCAGUUGAUUGUUCUGGCGGCGGUGUUGAGUGCCAUCCUCCUCAGCCCUCUCCAGCGCCAGCUUCUGUUAAAAAAUAGUUCUGUUGCCAAUUUGAUAGGAGAAGUACUGCUCUCUGCUUUUGCUUUCAUUGUGCUUUUUAAAAAAUUAUUGAUAGAGCUGAUAUGUGUGUUCAUUGAUCAGUUGGAUUUCUUUUGUGAAUUGUUCUUUUUUUUGUCUUUUGUCCUUUUUUUCCUUCUUGGAUAUUAGGGCUUUUUUCUUACUAAUUUACUAGUCCUUUAUACUGAAAGGAUGUUAAUACUUUGUGGUGUGUCACAGAUAUUUUUCCUAGUUUAAUAUUUGCCUUUUAUGUUUGUUACUGUUUUCUUCUUGUGAAGCAAUGCUGUGUUUGAUUGAUUCUGUGACACAUGUGUUCUUGCCUUUUAACUUUUUUGAAAUCAGAUGUGAUUUAUUCUUGAUGUGUCCUGCAGUCACUGUCAGGUUGUGUUAGAUUUGUCAUUACCUGUGCAAGUGGACAUGGUCGUUAUUCCUGGUGGCAGGGCUGGACCUCUGCAACCACAGCCCCUGGAUGCUUUUGUCCCCAUACCAUUUAAAGGCCAUUUGAAGAAGGAGCACAGAUCCUGAUUGCUGUUUGAAAACCAUCCAUUGAUACCUUCUGAUGGGAUCAAGAAAAGGUAUCAAAACUUACAGAGUGAGGGGCAGCAGCUUGGAAGAAAAUCUCAGAGAAAGAUGAUGAUGGUCUUUUAAGAAAUGCGGCGUCACCAACACCCUCGAUGGAUAUUUUGCUCGUGUCCAUGGCAUCAGGCAGCUUAUAAAGGCAUUUCUACAGAAGAUAGAAUGUCAGUGCCAAAUUAUAAACCUGGGGGCUGGGAUGGAUACCGCCUUCUGGACAUUAAAGGUAAGUUAAAAUCCCCCCUCUUUUUUCCCCAGUUGUUUAAAUUUGAUUUUGUGAAGAUUUUCACCAUAUUCAAAACUUUUAAAACUAUAUUAAAAGGGAUGCAGUGACAGCCUGUCUCCCACCAUUGUCCCCACCUGCUUGCACACCCCCCACAACCCCCAUCAGCCCCGUAUCUCACCGGGGCCCUAGUGAAGGAUAUGUGGGUUGUUUCUCAUCUUUUGCUGUUACAAACAGGGUUAUAAAAAAAAUCUUUGUAUAUAUUUCCCCCUGCAUGUGUGGAAAUAUAUCAGGAGAGAAAAUUCUGCCAGUGGAAUUGCUGAGACAAAGAGCACAUGCCUUUGUAAUUUUGAUAAUAACUAAGAUUUUAUUGUCAGCAUAGCAGCGUUUAGGUAAAAUUUCUCUGGGCAAUGAUAAUAUGAUACAAAGCCCUUUUGUAGCCAAUCUGUGAUUUGAUCCCUUACCUGCUCUGUUAGGAUUCAAGAGCAGGUGUAAUUGCAUUCACAGGACAGGAAACUUGGGUCUCAUUACUGGCAGAAGCAGGACUAAAGCACUCGGCUUUGACUCCUGGGGUGGAAUUUUGCCUUCAAACCUUUGCCCUACGAAGAUUCCACUGAUCGUAUUUUCUUUUUUGUAGGUUUGUACAGAUUUUUUUAGGGUCUUCUAUCAGGUCAGUCAUGUGGCAGUAAUGGGUAUGUGCAUUUCCCCAGAUUUCUCCAGAUGUACACCAAGAUAAAUUAGAGUGUGUGGGCAUAACCCGACCUGCAUAUCUGUUUUGUCCCUAAUCAGCUCACCUGAUAAGAUGGUCUUUAGUCAUCAGAGCUCCCAGCCUUUCUCUUACUCAAGCGAGAAGUCGGUGGCAUCAACAUGGUCUUAGUAUUAAACGUUUGCCUCUGCAUUCUUCAUUUAGGAUAAGAUAACUAACAUUUCUGAGGUGUUUUUACAUACAUGGCCUCACGAAUUAACAUGAGAUCUCUGUGAGAGGGGAGAGUUUUACACAGAUGGGGAAAGUGGGGCUGCGAGAGCUUGUGUCUUUCCCCAAAUUGGAUAUCUGGUGGCACUGGAAUGUGGAACAAACAUUGGAGCCCAGCUCAUCGAACUGCAGACUCCUUCCCCUUUCCUCUACACACAGCCCUGUGGGUGUUCCAGCGGUUCUUUUCUGUAGGUUGAUUGUGCCUGUGUAACACGGGGACCAUGGUGUACCAGAAGGAACUGGAAGAGAAUGCAGCGUAAGCGAAUGUGCAGUGUCAGUGUUCACAGGGGCCGCUGGAGAAAUCCCUCCUUUGGGCCUGACACCUUUUUGACUGGUCCCAUGGUUUGGUUUUUUCCCUGUCUUGCAAGUGAGUUAAUAAUUAAUAAAUGUGAGAUUUUUAUUUCUGAGCAAGGUACACAGAGGCUUACGUGCUCCUUCCAAGGAAAAGGCUGUCUGGCAGUAGUGAGGAAGGAGAGUAGCACAGGGUCUGAAAGUCUUUUGUGGAAGUUUUUUGUUUUGUUUGAUAAUCAUAUUGGUCUGAAGGGAUUUUUUAAAAUCUAAAGUUCCUCCUUUUUUGAAAAACAAUUAUUAUGUUUGCUCUUUUGGAGCCGAGGUUGCAUGGGCCAAAUCCAGCCUGCCACCUAUUUUUAGAAAUCAAAUUUUAUGGGAUGCAGCCACUCCCAUUUAUUUCCAUAUUCUCUGUGGCUGCUUUAGCACUGUGACCGCGGAGUUCAGCAGUUAUGACAGACCGUCUGGCCUUCACAGGCUAAAAUACUUAUUUCUGACUCUUUACAGAAAGUUUGCUAAUCCCUGUUUUAGAAAUAUAUGUGCUCCUAUAAAAGAGUGAGGAAAAUGUUGUCUGUUGGUCUUGUUGUCUCAUGCACCUCCCACCUUGGAUGGUCCCCUGGCUGCCCCAGCACAGGAUUAGCUGUGAGUCAAGGCUUUCUGCUGUCACUACUAUAUGAGUUUGGUCUGUAUGAUCUCAGGGGCCCAGGACUGGAGGGUUGAAGACUCCCAUCUUCGGGCAGCGGGCAAGAAUAGGGCAAGGGAGAGCUGGUAUUGUCCCAAACAGAGAAUAAGGAGUGAGUGAAACUCUUAAGGGGCCUCAGUUGUUUGGUGUCUCUUGAAUUCUGUUUCUACAAACUGAAAGGUCAAGUACAUAGGGGAAGGAUUGUCAAUUUUGCUGGCCUGUGAAACGGUCAGCCAUGUUGGAUCUGCUUUGAGACUAAGUGGUACCCUUCCUCCUGGCUGCUCCUGGCUGCCCUCUGGUACUUAUAGUCAGUCUUGGGUGUCUCCCCUGCCUCCUUGAGACGUGUGAGCUACUUGGGAGUGGAGUGUCAGAAGGGCCUAGAGAAUCACAGACUAAAAAGUGGAAGUAUCACUUCCCACAGCCAUUUUGCCCUUUUCUGAAAGCCGAGAAAGAGGAUGUCUGUUUCUUAAAAGCUCCAGGUGUGCCUUUUGGAAGCUUCCCUUCCACAGUGCCCUCUUAUUCAGAAUCAUUGGGAGGAUCAAGUGAGCUACUGCAGGGAAAGCUCUUUACAAAGUCAGAAGACCCAUUUGAGUUGUAGGACUCUAUGCUAUCUGUCAUUCAUUUGCUUUUAAUUGCUCUCUUUGUCUUCUGGAAUUUUAGACUAUCUUUAACUUUCCAUACCCUGUGAGUAAAAGUUCUUGAAAGGUCUUGUAGAAUUUCCUAGAGAAAGUCAGGAAACCCCUUAAUGGGUUUCACUCACUCCUUAUUCUUUGUUUGUGACAAUACCGGCUCUCCCGUGCCCUAUUCUUGCCCACUGCCCGAAGAUGGGAGUCUUCAACGCUCCAGUCCUGGGCCCCUGAGAUCAUACAGAUCAAGUUCAUGUAGCAGUGGCAGCAGAAGGCCUUGACUCGCAGCUAAGCCUCUGCUGGUGCAGCCAGGGAACCACGCCAGGUGGGAGGUGCGAUUUCCACACAUGCUCUAAACACGUCCUCCACGGAUCUUCAAAUAGAUUACAUAGCCCUACUCUGCUGAUAGGCGGGAGCUCCUCUGAUGUCAGGAAACUGUCUUGUUUAUUCCUCCCCCCACCCUCCGCCACUGCCUCCCUCGUACCUUCCUUUCCUUCCUCUCUUCUCUCUCUCUUUCUCUUGCCCCAUCCUUCCCUCUCUCCCUCCCUCUCUUCCUUCCUCCUCCCCCACCCCUCCAGAUCCCCUAGGACUUUAACUGAGGACUAGUGUCUGCAUAGGGUGGGGGAGCUGGAUCUCACAUUUCUGACACUUGCCCUUAGGGGUCACCUUCCUACUAGGAAAUGCUUGCUCAUGAUUUCCAUUCCCAUCAUGCUGUCCCAUCAGGGGGUCUGCUGCCCCUCCAUACUGCUCUCCAUCUCUUACUACUGUCUACAUAAAUGGUUCUCUCUCCUGCCCAGUUGCUCAGGGCAGAAACAAGGGUGCCAUCCUUACUCCUCCUUUUUCUUUAUCCCACCCUCUAUUGACACCACACCAGGUUCUGGAUAUCAGCAACUUUCUUUUUAAAUAAGUAGUUCUGUAUUUCUGGAAUAUAAGCACAGAUGGGAGCAGGGAUGUUAAAAGAGUACUAGGCCAGAAGGUGGGCAGGUGGGCCAGGUUGUGGAGCACCCAGCAUCUUAGCUCAAUCUUAGAGGUGGGAAGAGCUGCUGCAGGCAACAUGAAGUGUGUCGUUGAAAGAGAUCAGAAAGGGAUGUUGUUAGAGUCUGUGCAGUUGGGGACAGAGCGGAAGAGGAGAGGAUGCCUUCUAGGAUAGUCAGCAGGCAGGGCUGAGUGACUGAUCAAACAGGGUGGAGACGGAGAGAAUUCUAGGAUGACCAGUGAGUGACUGUGGGGAGGAGGGGAUAGUACCACCCAGCUAGGGAAGCAGAAGGGGGAAGCAGGGCCGUGUGUGUGUGUCUCUAUGUGUGAGGUUUUCACAGUUUUUUUUUUUUUACUGCAGCUCACAGUAAAAAAUAAAUGUAUAUCCCAAUCUAGCACCCACAUCUAUGUACUGAUGUCUAAAUAAUAAGGGCACACACAUGGUGCUUACUAGGUGCAGGCCCUGUUCUCUCACUCCUGUAUUUCCUCAUUAAUCCUCACAACCCCACGAGGUGGUAUCAUUUUCUCUACUUUUCAAAUGAGGAAGCCUUGGCUCAGGGAGUUUAGUGACUUUCCCAAGGCCUCAGAGUGAACAAGUGGUGGAGCUGGGAUUUGAACCCUGUCCGCCCGGGCUGCAGAGUCCCUGUCCUUUACCACCCCAGUAUACUCCACUGUCAGAGAAAAAAAUAAAUAUAUUACAAAAUAGUACUUACCCUCACCUCAUGUGAUGCUUUCUGAUAUUUGCUAUUUUAUUUCAUUUCAUCCAAAAGAUUCUUGUCCAUACCCACUACACUGAUUUCCUGACUCUCUCUAAUUGGUCUCAAGCUGCUUCCUGUUACAUCCUACGUCCAGAGUGCCUCCUGCUCCUCCCCACUCCAUCCCAGUGGACGCUUCCCCAGUUCUGGCUGCCCAUUACUUCUUGCCUAGGUGACCACAGUAACCUCCUAAUUUUUUGCGCCAUCUGUUCCUCAUACUGAGACCAAAGUAAUUUAGAAAAUGCAUUUCUGACCAUAUCAUCCCCUGAUUUAAAAUCCUUAAAUACCCCAUUGCUCCUCGGGCCUUGGUACUUGGUCUGUGAGGAUGAUCAGUGAAUAUAUGACUGAAUAAAUAAUUAUAAAGAUAACUGUGUUUUUUCUCAGGAUGAGGGUCUUCUCCCAAGGAAAUAUUUUGAAGUUGACUUUCCGGUGAUAGUCACGAGAAAGCUACACAGCAUCAAGUAAGUGUGGCUUUGGCCAGAAGAAAGAGCCUGGUAGAAUUCAGAACCGGCCUUCAGUAGACAGCAGGUCUGAGUGCCAGAGACCUCAUUUUAGGGCCCUGCUCUCCUCACUUGCUUUCUUGCCCCGAGACCCUCAUUCCAGUGUGUCUUGCAGUCUUCAAAAUGAAAAAUACCCUCCCUUGUGACUCUUCUCUCCAUUAAUGUAACUUCUCUGAACACUUAAAAAAUGACCUAUCAUAGUUUAGUAAUCUGAAUUAAAAUUCACAUAAUGUGUAUUUUGUUUACUUCUUUAUCCCAGGGAACAGAAAGGUACCUGGUCCAGAAAAGAUAUGUAGUAAAUAUUUUUUGAAUGAAUGAAUGAAUGGGAAACUGAACUUAAUCAUUUAUUAUAUAUGAGAUAUGUGGGGGCCAUUCUGAGUCGAGGUUUCAAGGAGUUUGCAAAGUUGUAGAUGAUGAGUUUGCUCAUCUUUGCCGAGAGCUUUGCGUGUCAAAUGCUUCUCUUGGAUUGUCUCAUUCAAUCCUCAGAGCAGACUCAUGAAUUAGUGCUAUUAUUAGCCCCUUCUUACAGAUGAGGAAACUGAGGCUCAAAGACGUUAAUUUGCCUAAAGUCACCUGGCUAGGAAGGGGUGGAGCUGAGCUUUAAACCCUGACUUCAAGCCCAAGGUCAAGGUUUCUCAGUACAGUCGUGUGUCCCCUAACAGUAACAGGGAUGCGUUCUGAGAAAUGCAUUGCUAGGUGAUUUCAGUGUCAUGUGAACGUCGUGGAUUACACUUACACAGUCCCAGAUGGUGUAGCCUACUAUACAUCUGGGCUGUAUGGUGCUAAUAUUGAAGGACCACUAGCACGUAUGUGGUCUGUGGUUGACUGAAACGUCAUUAUGUGGUGUGUGACUUAGUUUUAACCUGUACUCCCUCCUUUUAAAAUUAUUUAAAUAAAAUUUUAAUUCUUAUAUUUAAACAUUUUAAUAAACGCAAAAGUUUCUACCUGUCCUUUAGAGAUGUCUAAUCCUCACAAACUGGAAAUAUUUUUCAAGUUUUUUCUUUUCUAGUUUAUCCUAGGAAAAUAAGUUUUUUACCCCUUUCCAAAUAUAAAAUUGCAUUUUACAUUAAAUAGGCUUUUUGGAUAAUAUAUGGCAAUUCUGAUGCUCUGGGAACUGCAAAGUACUACUAAGCUUGUUAAAACUCUGAGUGAAGUAAGAGUAAGUAGGCUCUAAAUCAAGGCCAGACACGGUUUCCUGGGGUGAAAA
This 9445-nucleotide long non-coding RNA is filed under the name Equus caballus (horse). Its description in RNAcentral is "lncRNA (ENSECAG00000027885.3)". The stretch from base 56 to 152 matches the Rfam family "mir-9058 microRNA precursor family". Lineage: Eukaryota; Metazoa; Chordata; Mammalia; Perissodactyla; Equidae. The record is from RNAcentral.